CUAGCACACGAAACGACAGAACGUUUCAUCCAUGACAAGAGCCAUACCCAGCUGAGUCACUAUAUAUGAAACUCCCGCCUCUGAGAUGGCGACUUCCACUUUAUCGACAAUUCAGUCCUCUCUUAAUCGCAAACGCCUUUGAUUACCACCGCCUAUUUCAUUUCAAUUCCACAAAUUCGUAAAAACUUCUGCGGAUACUCUUCCUUUGAACUACUUUGUGGCUGACACUAUUGCUGCUGAACUUACAUUUUGGUGGCCCAGGCGAAAGCGUAUUUGAUUAAGGGAGGUCUUGCUUUGAAUCUGCAAAGAGCUGUAAUUUGAGUGCUAUUUUUAAAAAGAAAAGGCAAAAAAAAGGGGAGAAAAUUAAGCAUGUUUUACCUUUUUCUUUUUUUGGUCGUUUUUAUAUAUUUCAUUGCCGAUUCUUAAUGCAGUACUUAAUUUAACUGAUAGCUAUAGGUUGGAUUGAAUGGGAUCUCGUUGUGUAAAGAUCCGUACUCUCUAAGUGGUGAAUAUAAACAUCGGCUUGCCUUGGCUAUUCAACUGGUAAUAACCUUUAUGUAAGUCUACACUUCUUGAGAUGCUCCAUUCUAAAGUUACAGAUUAGGCACUUGUAUAACCUUUAUCCUUGUAGCAUGCUUUGAGUGAUGAGUGUUAUCGAUUUAAUAUUCAGUUUAAAGUCCCUGAUAUGUUGGUUUUGGAAUGAGCCUCUUGUUGGCCUAGCUGUGAGUCAUACUCAGUACUUUUUAGUUCCUAGACCAUUCCUUGUCUUCCCUCUUGUUUAGUCCCCCAGCUGAUGAUUACUAUGAUAUUUUUGAAGUUAAUCAAUAAUUAAGAACCCCUAAUCCCUGUAGUGCAGUGCAGUUUCCUCCAACUUUUUAAAUGCGUGAAUACUUUUAGAGAUAAAGAGUCAAGGGAGGCCCGCUUUGGGCUUGUUGUCUUGAGAUCGGCUAAUUGACGAUGAGUUAUGGAUUUGAAUGUUCUCUUAUUUCCUUUCUUAUCAUCAGUAAUACCAAACUAUACAUCAGGGGUUCACCUCACCAUUCCUUUCCUUUUCAAUAAUUUGGACCUUUGGCCUCCCCCAUGAAAGCAGGUCUGGUACCACCUUGCUUUCAAGACUGGUUAGGGUACUCCAACUGUUUUCAUUUAGAUCAUUUAACUUCAAAUUCAAUUCCAGCUCUUUAGCACUCAAAAUUCUAAAAUUCAAUGCCCUCAUGUUUAUCAGUUAUAAAAAAAAUUUCUCAAUCUUUGAAGUGAUGAGUGUUUCACACUCAAGUGAGUCCAUGGUAAGCUUUCAGUACAUCCUCCUAGCUUCUCCAUUUGUUAAUUAUUUUCUGCUGCAGUGAGUUUGUUUUAAUUGUUAUUAAUGAUGCUUUGGAGAUCAGAUUGGAAGGUAUGGGCAGAUGUUAUAAAGCUUUUGAAGUGCUUGGAGAAAAAAUUGACCAUCCUUGUUGUCAGUCAUUAUCUCAAGUGCUCGGCCUAAAGGAUUGUGGCAUUUCAAGCAGGACCAACGAAAACUAUUUUUCUGUAGAAGGAGAUCCAGGACAGGAGCAAGUUCUUUCCUUCUUAUCUAAUGGCAUUCCAUUUAUGACUCUGGCCUUCUCUUUCCACAAAUUGGGAGUUUUCUUAGCCGUUCCAUACCGGUUUGUCACUGUUGUUGAACUGGAACCGCCAGCAUGAUUCGGGCAUGAUUUCAAUACUUUCAGUGAUAUUGGCAUUUGGCUUCUCAAAUGCCUCGAUUGCACACCGUUAAAUGAGAAGAUGCCCAUCUAGUCAGGGUUGGUGGCGUCAAUUUGUUAGCGUGUCCCACAAUCAUAAAAGCGAGGAAGCUGUUGUCAGCUUGUUGACAAAUGCCACGCAACAGUCUUCAAUCCUGGAUGCCCUAAUUCCAUCCGUGGAUUUGACAGUGAAAGCUGUUGACGAGAGUGAAAAAAGUGUAAACAAAUUGCACUGUUUUUCUUACGAUAUGUCUAAAUUUUUCAUUUGUUUCUGUUGAUUAGAAUAGUUGCAAUUCUAACAUAAGAAGCCCGGCACGGUGACAAAUGCUAUAAAUUGAGGUUGAUGUUGUUCCUAAUGGAGCGUCACGAUCAAUAGCGAUCAUGACACAUGAUAUGUCGGUAUUGUCUACUAUUUUUGCCGGUUUGAUGCACACGCAUGAUCAAAACUAUAACCUA
Molecule: long non-coding RNA, 2171 nt
Organism: Populus euphratica (Euphrates poplar)
Lineage: Eukaryota; Viridiplantae; Streptophyta; Magnoliopsida; Malpighiales; Salicaceae
Exons: 4
Source: RefSeq, a predicted model, not a curated record